Molecule: long non-coding RNA, 511 nt
Organism: Capsicum annuum
Lineage: Eukaryota; Viridiplantae; Streptophyta; Magnoliopsida; Solanales; Solanaceae
Exons: 4
Source: RefSeq, a predicted model, not a curated record
AAAAAUUUUCACUAAAUUCUCCAAAAAUUAAAAUUAAUAUAUAACAUAAAGUAAAGAAGUAUAUAUAGAAAGUUUUCCAUUACUAUUAAAUGUUUCCCAUUCUUAACCCCACGCUGCCAUACGCUCCACCACAUGCCACCACUGGUACGCUCCGACGACCACACACGAUACGCCACCAGCUUCGAUGACCACACACGCCACCAGUAGCUCCGAAUGCACACACCACCAGUAGGUUGGGGAGAUUAUUUCAAGAUUUGAGAAAAAGGGGUUUAAGCUAACUGCAUUGUGGCUUUUUCAAUGCCCCAAAGAUUUGGCAAAGAUAAGCUUCCUGAUAACUGGAGUGAGGCAUCAAUAUAUCUUCCAUAUGCUCACUGGACCGUUUCUUUGUUAUACCUGGUAAACAGAUCCAUAUACUUGCAUGCCUCUCAGCCCGUAAGCAGGAAAUGGAAAUUAUUACACCUUUUAAGGUUAUGGCCGUCGUGAAUAAAAAUGGUAUUAGACAAAGCAACCA